AUUGAACGCUGGCGGCAUGCUUUACACAUGCAAGUCGAACGGUAACAGGCCGCAAGGUGCUGACGAGUGGCGAACGGGUGAGUAAUGCAUCGGAACGUGCCCAGUCGUGGGGGAUAACGCAGCGAAAGCUGUGCUAAUACCGCAUACGAUCUAUGGAUGAAAGCGGGGGACCGUAAGGCCUCGCGCGAUUGGAGCGGCCGAUGUCAGAUUAGGUAGUUGGUGGGGUAAAGGCCUACCAAGCCGACGAUCUGUAGCUGGUCUGAGAGGACGACCAGCCACACUGGGACUGAGACACGGCCCAGACUCCUACGGGAGGCAGCAGUGGGGAAUUUUGGACAAUGGGCGCAAGCCUGAUCCAGCAAUGCCGCGUGCCGGAAGAAGGCCUUCGGGUUGUAAACUGCUUUUGUACGGAACGAAACGGCCUGGGUUAAUACCCUGGGCUAAUGACGGUACCGUAAGAAUAAGCACCGGCUAACUACGUGCCAGCCGCCGCAGUAA
Molecule: ribosomal RNA, 498 nt
Filed under: uncultured bacterium
Lineage: Bacteria
Description: partial 16S ribosomal RNA
Rfam family: Bacterial small subunit ribosomal RNA
Source: RNAcentral